This 3576-nucleotide long non-coding RNA is filed under the name Sus scrofa (pig). RNAcentral's name for it is "lncRNA (ENSSSCG00065035226.1)". Lineage: Eukaryota; Metazoa; Chordata; Mammalia; Artiodactyla; Suidae. The record is from RNAcentral.
AAAAUAGACAAAUAUUCAUGCUGAAGCCGUAAUAAGGAACUUAACAGGAGAACAAUCAGAAGUUCUCCGGUGAAAAAUUUAGAGCAACUGGAAAAUAUGUUAUAAGGAGUUUUACUUUACCACUUUUCUCAGUAAAAAAGUUGGCAUUUUUCUCACUUUCAUGUCCCUUGAAAAUUUCACAUGCAGAAAAAUUGUCAAUGUACUUCAGAGUGAAAGAAAAAUCACGCCUUGGAUAGAUAAUUGUGUAGGUUAUCCUGGACUCGUAAUCAGGGAGGGCUUCUUGGUGGAAGUGGGCUGAGUGAGAUUUAAAAGAGGUGAGGUUGGGAAUGUGGGCAGAGGCUGGAGGUGGAAGACUGAAUAGUCUGGAAUGGAUCUGACGCUUGGUAGGAGGAGCAGCUGGAAAGGCAGGAGGAGGGCAGAAAAGGGUGGUGUCUCGGGAAUCCGUGACAAGGACGUCUAAGCAGCGGUAGAUGGUCUUCCGUGACCACGCAGGAUAAGGACUGAAAAAGCAUCUCCAGUGUCUGGGAACAAGCGCAUUAAAACAGAAAAGUGACAAGUACAAACUCCAUCCGCAGUAAGGCUAACAAUCCGGUUUCUUCGGGUCGAGGAAAAUGGCUGCUGGGCAGGCAGUAGCACCAACCGACUCAAGCAGCUUUAGGGACCUUAGGCCCGUGCUUUUGUUGCUUUGUUCUGUUUUUUACCGCAGUGGUAUAUGCAUCCCCCCAGAAAGGGCUCUUUAGUCUUUCUAUCCUGUCGGUAUUUCUUUUGACAGUGAAGGCUGGCAUCAUCCACUCGUUUACCCAGAUCUGCUGUGAGUUUAUCUAUUUUUUCCUACGUUGUUUCUCCAAAUUGCCUUUGAUGACGCCAUGAUGAUGCUUCCCCUUAGGAAACAUCCUAAAUUUAACUUUUUUGAGUCAUUUACUGUUGGGUAGGUUGCCACCGAUUUCAAAGCUAGAAUUGUUUUUAGAUUCAUCACGUACUGACUCUGAAAAUAACAUUUGGUCAUUUAUUUGGGCCUUUGAAUUUGUGAUACUAUUAUAAUCAGCAGCAUUGUGUCAAGGGUGGCAUUUAUGGCUUAAUUUCCUAUUUUCUAGUCUUGUCUUAAUGAGGACUCCGACUGGUUUUAUAGCGAACCACAUACAACAGAAUGCAACGCAUUUUAGAAAGAUCUCUUUAUCAGGAUCGUAGGCAUACUUAAUGGCCUUUUAAAAAUGGAUAUGCUUUUUAAAAAGUAGUCCUAUAAAACAUACAAUAUUCUUGAGAUUUGGAUCUAUGUUAAUGUGCUGUCAGCAGAAAUUAUAUGUGAGUUUUAUGAGGUCUAAACUCUCCAAGGGAAGUGAUUAUUUCCUGAGCAUUGGAAAUUCUCUGCAUGAUGUGUAGGUGCAAAAUAAAUGGAGAACUUCAAGCCAGAGGCACAUUUGUUCCUCUUUUUGUUUCAUCUUAUUGAAAGUACGUACUAGAAAAAUUAGGAUCCGGUUUUGGAGCUGAUGUGCUUGACCUGCAUGGCCUAGUAGAGCUUGAAGGAGUCAUUCCAGGGCGCUUUUCCAUGUAAUUUCGUUUGAACAUAGCUAAGAAAUGAGAAGAAGAUGGGGUUCACUUUCCCACACUCAUAACUUUUUAAGGUUGGCGAUCCCAGGUUUCCAGGACUGUUUCGUGUAAUCGGAUCUGUUCUGAGUGUCCUCUUUCUCCCUCUGGUCAACUAAUUACACACGUGGUUUAUUAGUUUUCUCUGUUUAGGCUUUGAAUUCACUCUAGACCCUGGAGCUUGAGAAAACAGCACUUCUCUCCGGCCCCUUCCUCGUGGAUCCCCACCCCAGCAUUUUCAGUGUGCAAGUUAUAGGAUUAUUUGCUUAUUAUAUACCUUCAUUCCAUUCCCACAGAUCUGCUUGCUUGGCGCUGUAGUCUUGGGCUAUGCCCUGGGAGGGAACAGGGUUUCGUGAGAAUUAAAAGUUUAUAUACCUGGUACUUGAAGAAUAAAAACUCUUGAAAAUGUACUUCCUUUAACGCUUUCAGUGGUUCGGUCGGCCAGAUCUUGUAGACAUAGGUGUUUAUUGUUCGGCUGAAUCCCUUUUUAGAAACGCUUGUAGCAAGCCAAAGGUAAUUUGAUUUAAUUCAAGAAUUAGCAUUACUUUAUGAAUGCCUCGGAAUUUCAUAUGUAAUGUAUACAAAAUAACAUGCCUUUAUACCGCAUGUGUGUAUGUGCGUGGAUGCACAGGUACACGCACUGUAUGUAAAUGUAGUGUGUGCACAUAUAGGCACAGUUGUUUUUUACAUCACCUCCAAACUCCUCUGUGUUCAAUUACUGUGACAUUCCGUGCAUUUGUUUUCGAUGAGACAUGGAGCCUGUGUACAAUGCAUGUACAGAAAUGUUUGAAAGGAUUAAUGGUGUAGCGCCUCAAAUGACGGGGAAUUAACUAUUUAAUUUUAUUUUAAACGUAAGCUGUUCGUGUGAGAAAACAUCUCUACCUCAUGCACCAUGUAUUUCAGAUUUAAAACUUUUUUGAGGAGUGAAACGACCAUUUUCUUCUCGUUUGUGAGCAGGCUCGUUGUUUCCUGAGAACGUGCUAGUGUCUUAGUGCGUGUGCCGUGAGGUGUGUAACGCUGCCAUCACAAAGCAGCAUUUCUAAGUGUAUAACCAGGGCUUGGAAGAGCACAUUCAACAGGUUGGAUUCCAGAUACCUAGAAACUCAGAUCGGAGGCAAAUCGGUGAUGCUGGAGGAUAUGCAGAAAAGCUCAUAGAGAGCGGGACGCGUUGCGUGGACAUCUGAGGUAGUGCAAAGUGGGUUUUUCUCAGAAAAAUCGGUGGAAAUAUUAAAUAACUAAAUAUUUAAAUGAGGGUGAGAUUGAGGUUUGUUUUUAUUUUUUGCAAUUUCCAGAAAUGCCAUAAUAGAAAUGGUAGGAUUACAGGGGACGCUUGAAUGAAGAUGUAACAUCUUGAGGGCAUUUCACGUCUAUGACAGAGACUCAGGAAAAUAUUUGAGGUCAAGAUGUGAUGGUUGUAUAAAGAAAAGACUGAACAUAGACAGUCACGUGAAGAGUAAAAUGGGUUAACCUGAGACAGCAGUAUCCAAUUUCUUUUUAAACUACUCUGAGGUAUUUGUACAGUUGAUUAAUCUGUUUUCUUGCCUCUCUUGGUGUCUGCAACAUGAUUAUGUUAUAUUUUUCCUACUUUCUUAUGACUUUUCUUUUUUUUCUUUUCUUUUUUUCUUGUCUUUUUGCCAUUUCUUGGGCCGCUCCCGCGGCAUAUGGAGGUUCCCAGGCUAGGGGUCCAAUCGGAGCUGUAGCUGCCGGCCUACGCCAGAGCCACAGCAACACGGGAUCUGAACCGCAUCUGCGACCUACACCACAGCUCAUGGCAACGCCGGAUCCUUAACCCACUGAGCGAGGCCAGGGAUCAAACCUGCACCCUCACGGUUCCCAGUCAGAUUCGUUAACCCCUGCGCCACGACGGGAACUCCUCUUCUGACUUUUGAUCUCAGUCUCUUUCUUGGGCCGACUGCUGUACACUUCCAUUUGACCUGCAUUUCUUCCGCUAUGAAUGUUUGCCCUUGAUGAAUCACCCAAACCCAUGAACUC